ACCGGCAGCUAACUCUCUGCAACUCUCACAUGGUCGCCCACUGAAGCUAAGCAGGGCUGUGCCCGGUCAGUACCUGGAUGGGAGACCACAUGGGAAAGCUAGGUUGCUGCCGGAA
Molecule: ribosomal RNA, 115 nt
Filed under: Danio rerio (zebrafish)
Lineage: Eukaryota; Metazoa; Chordata; Actinopteri; Cypriniformes; Danionidae
Source: RNAcentral